This 600-nucleotide ribosomal RNA is filed under the name Bacillus sp. BGUMS94. RNAcentral's name for it is "bacterial SSU rRNA". It matches the Rfam family "Bacterial small subunit ribosomal RNA", at positions 70 to 653 of the family's 1533-position model. The record is from RNAcentral. Lineage: Bacteria; Bacillati; Bacillota; Bacilli; Caryophanales; Bacillaceae.
AGAAGGGAGCUUGCUCCCGGAUGUUAGCGGCGGACGGGUGAGUAACACGUGGGUAACCUGCCUGUAAGACUGGGAUAACUCCGGGAAACCGGAGCUAAUACCGGAUAGUUCCUUGAACCGCAUGGUUCAAGGAUGAAAGACGGUUUCGGCUGUCACUUACAGAUGGACCCGCGGCGCAUUAGCUAGUUGGUGGGGUAAUGGCUCACCAAGGCGACGAUGCGUAGCCGACCUGAGAGGGUGAUCGGCCACACUGGGACUGAGACACGGCCCAGACUCCUACGGGAGGCAGCAGUAGGGAAUCUUCCGCAAUGGACGAAAGUCUGACGGAGCAACGCCGCGUGAGUGAUGAAGGUUUUCGGAUCGUAAAGCUCUGGUGUUAGGGAAGAACAAGUGCGAGAGUAACUGCUCGCACCUUGACGGUACCUAACCAGAAAGCCACGGCUAACUACGUGCCAGCAGCCGCGGUAAUACGUAGGUGGGCAAGCGUUGUCCGGAAUUAUUGGGCGUAAAGGGGCUCGCAGGCGGUUUCUUAAGUCUGAUGUGAGAGCCCCCGGCUCAACCGGGGAGGGUCAGUGGGAACUGGGAAACUUGAGUGCAAAG